RNAcentral lists this ribosomal RNA (580 nucleotides) under Hanseniaspora uvarum. Its description in RNAcentral is "partial large subunit ribosomal RNA". It matches the Rfam family "Eukaryotic large subunit ribosomal RNA", at positions 71 to 668 of the family's 3401-position model. Lineage: Eukaryota; Fungi; Ascomycota; Saccharomycetes; Saccharomycodales; Saccharomycodaceae. The record is from RNAcentral.
GGGAUACUUAGUACGGCGAGUGAAGCGGUAAAAGCUCAAAUUUGAAAUCUGGUACUUUCAGUGCCCGAGUUGUAAUUUGUAGAAUUUGUCUUUGAUUAGGUCCUUGUCUAUGUUCCUUGGAACAGGACGUCAUAGAGGGUGAGAAUCCCGUUUGGCGAGGAUACCUUUUCUCUGUAAGACUUUUUCGAAGAGUCGAGUUGUUUGGGAAUGCAGCUCAAAGUGGGUGGUAAAUUCCAUCUAAAGCUAAAUAUUGGCGAGAGACCGAUAGCGAACAAGUACAGUGAUGGAAAGAUGAAAAGAACUUUGAAAAGAGAGUGAAAAAGUACGUGAAAUUGUUGAAAGGGAAGGGCAUUUGAUCAGACAUGGUGUUUUUUGCAUGCACUCGCCUCUCGUGGGCUUGGGCCUCUCAAAAAUUUCACUGGGCCAACAUCAAUUCUGGCAGCAGGAUAAAUCAUUAAGAAUGUAGCUACUUCGGUAGUGUUAUAGCUUUUUGGAAUACUGUUAGCCGGGAUUGAGGACUGCGCUUCGGCAAGGAUGUUGGCAUAAUGGUUAAAUGCCGCCCGUCUUGAACCACGGACCA